Molecule: ribosomal RNA, 745 nt
Filed under: Lentilactobacillus buchneri
Lineage: Bacteria; Bacillati; Bacillota; Bacilli; Lactobacillales; Lactobacillaceae
Description: bacterial SSU rRNA
Rfam family: Bacterial small subunit ribosomal RNA
Source: RNAcentral
UAAUACAUGCAAGUCGAACGCGUCUCCGUUGAUGAUUUUAGGUGCUUGCACUUGAAAGAUUUAACAUUGAGACGAGUGGCGAACUGGUGAGUAACACGUGGGUAACCUGCCCUUGAAGUAGGGGAUAACACUUGGAAACAGGUGCUAAUACCGUAUAACAACCAAAACCACCUGGUUUUGGUUUAAAAGACGGCUUCGGCUGUCACUUUAGGAUGGACCCGCGGCGUAUUAGCUUGUUGGUAAGGUAACGGCCUACCAAGGCGAUGAUACGUAGCCGACCUGAGAGGGUAAUCGGCCACAUUGGGACUGAGACACGGCCCAAACUCCUACGGGAGGCAGCAGUAGGGAAUCUUCCACAAUGGACGAAAGUCUGAUGGAGCAACGCCGCGUGAGUGAUGAAGGGUUUCGGCUCGUAAAACUCUGUUGUUGGAGAAGAACAGGUGUCAGAGUAACUGUUGACAUCUUGACGGUAUCCAACCAGAAAGCCACGGCUAACUACGUGCCAGCAGCCGCGGUAAUACGUAGGUGGCAAGCGUUGUCCGGAUUUAUUGGGCGUAAAGCGAGCGCAGGCGGUUUUUUAGGUCUGAUGUGAAAGCCUUCGGCUUAACCGGAGAAGUGCAUCGGAAACCGGGAGACUUGAGUGCAGAAGAGGACAGUGGAACUCCAUGUGUAGCGGUGAAAUGCGUAGAUAUAUGGAAGAACACCAGUGGCGAAGGCGGCUGUCUGGUCUGUAACUGACGCUGAG